UACGAAGGGGUCUAGCGUUGCUCGGAAUUACUGGGCGUAAAGGGCGCGUAGGCGGACAGUUUAGUCAGAGGUAAAAGCCCAGGGCUCAACCUUGGAACUGCCUUUGAUACUGGCUGUCUUGAGUUCGGGAGAGGUGAGUGGAAUUCCUAGUGUAGAGGUGAAAUUCGUAGAUAUUAGGAAGAACACCAGUGGCGAAGGCGGCUCACUGGCCCGGUACUGACGCUGAGGCGCGAAAGCGUGGGGAGCAAACAGG
Molecule: ribosomal RNA, 253 nt
Filed under: uncultured bacterium
Lineage: Bacteria
Description: partial 16S ribosomal RNA
Rfam family: Bacterial small subunit ribosomal RNA
Source: RNAcentral